GCCUGAUUGGCUCAGUGGGUUAAGCGUCCGACUUCAGCUCAGAUCAUGAUCUCACGGUCUGUGGGUUCGAGCCCCGCGUCGGGCU
Molecule: transfer RNA, 85 nt
Filed under: Felis catus (domestic cat)
Lineage: Eukaryota; Metazoa; Chordata; Mammalia; Carnivora; Felidae
Rfam family: tRNA
About the family: Transfer RNA (tRNA) molecules are approximately 80 nucleotides in length. Their secondary structure includes four short double-helical elements and three loops (D, anti-codon, and T loops).
Source: Rfam by way of RNAcentral